UACAAAUAUUUAAAUAUCGCAUUAUUCUACUUCAUUAAGUAUUUACCAUCAUCGAUCAAGAUAAGUAAUGUUAUUCAUACAUCUAAAUUUGACAUCAAUACUUACAUUAUAUAUAUUAUUCACCAUAUAAAUACGAUGAACAGUAUAUUUUUUAAAAUAAAAAAAAUUAUUUUAAAAAAUAUUAUUUUAAAAAAUAUUUUUUUUUUAUAAAUUUAUUUUAUAAUACAAAUAUAAAAUUGUGUCAUUAACCUUUU
This 254-nucleotide long non-coding RNA is filed under the name Lathyrus oleraceus (garden pea). RNAcentral's name for it is "Pisum sativum (pea) long non-coding RNA (PSAT_LNC022240)". The record is from RNAcentral. Lineage: Eukaryota; Viridiplantae; Streptophyta; Magnoliopsida; Fabales; Fabaceae.